GCCGAGAUGGCGGAAUUGGUAGACGCAGUAGACUCAAAAUCUACCGACUUCGGUCGUGCGGGUUCGAGUCCCGCUCUCGGCACCA
Molecule: transfer RNA, 85 nt
Filed under: Trueperaceae bacterium
Lineage: Bacteria; Thermotogati; Deinococcota; Deinococci; Trueperales; Trueperaceae
Description: tRNA-Leu
Rfam family: tRNA
About the family: Transfer RNA (tRNA) molecules are approximately 80 nucleotides in length.
Source: RNAcentral